This 82-nucleotide transfer RNA is filed under the name Felis catus (domestic cat). It matches the Rfam family "tRNA". From Rfam's summary of the family: Transfer RNA (tRNA) molecules are approximately 80 nucleotides in length. The record is from Rfam by way of RNAcentral. Lineage: Eukaryota; Metazoa; Chordata; Mammalia; Carnivora; Felidae.
GCUUAAUUGGUUGAGCAUCUAGCUCUUGAUUUUGGCUCAAGUCAUGAUCCCAGGACCGUGGGAUCGAGUCCCACAUUGGGCU